RNAcentral lists this ribosomal RNA (228 nucleotides) under uncultured bacterium. RNAcentral's name for it is "partial 16S ribosomal RNA". It matches the Rfam family "Bacterial small subunit ribosomal RNA", at positions 103 to 334 of the family's 1533-position model. The record is from RNAcentral.
CGGGUGAGUAAUGCUUGGGAAUCUAGCUUAUGGAGGGGGAUAACUACGGGAAACUGUAGCUAAUACCGCGUAAUAUCGAAAGAUUAAAGUGUGGGACCUUCGGGCCACAUGCCAUAAGAUGAGCCCAAGUGGGAUUAGGUAGUUGGUGAGGUAAAGGCUCAUCAAGCCGACGAUCUCUAGCUGGUCUGAGAGGAUGACCAGCCACACUGGGACUGAGACACGGCCCAG